Molecule: non-coding RNA, 72 nt
Organism: Phrynosoma platyrhinos (Desert horned lizard)
Lineage: Eukaryota; Metazoa; Chordata; Lepidosauria; Squamata; Phrynosomatidae
Source: the annotation of a GenBank genome assembly
GGCAGUGUGGUGUAAUGGUUUGAUCAUUGGACUAUGGGUCUGGAGGGCAGGGUUUGAACCCCUGCUCAGCCA